Molecule: ribosomal RNA, 163 nt
Filed under: Heptapleurum microphyllum
Lineage: Eukaryota; Viridiplantae; Streptophyta; Magnoliopsida; Apiales; Araliaceae
Description: Schefflera microphylla 5.8S ribosomal RNA
Rfam family: 5.8S ribosomal RNA
About the family: 5.8S ribosomal RNA (5.8S rRNA) is a component of the large subunit of the eukaryotic ribosome. It is transcribed by RNA polymerase I as part of the 45S precursor that also contains 18S and 28S rRNA.
Source: RNAcentral
AACGACUCUCGGCAACGGAUAUCUCGGCUCUCGCAUCGAUGAAGAACGUAGCGAAAUGCGAUACUUGGUGUGAAUUGCAGAAUCCCGUGAACCAUCGAGUUUUUGAACGCAAGUUGCGCCCGAAGCCACUAGGUUGAGGGCACGUCUGCCUGGGCGUCACGCA